AGGUGGUGAGGCACUAUUACGCUCAGCUUUUACCUUGAGUUAUUGGAGACAACUCCCCACCCGUGUUCAAAAGAAUCAACCGUUUUACAUGGGUGUAUACGACUGUUAAAAAGCUAUCCUACCAGAUACCAACGUUGGUCUACUUAGGCCUUUGUGUAAAAUUUCCCCCUAUUUAAGGCUUGCCAAUUCCGGCCUUAUUUUCAAGAACAACCUUACCCUAUUGUACUUAAAUGAUUGUGAAUGUGGGAGAAAAUAUUGC
RNAcentral lists this long non-coding RNA (259 nucleotides) under Panax ginseng (ginseng). RNAcentral's name for it is "long non-coding RNA (PGIN_LNC011647)". Lineage: Eukaryota; Viridiplantae; Streptophyta; Magnoliopsida; Apiales; Araliaceae. The record is from RNAcentral.